GGGGGGAAAUUAAUAAAAUAUAAAUAAUAAAAAAAUUUUUAAUAUUGGGGGGUAUUAAAGUAUUUUUUWAAAAAAAAUAAAUUAUUUUAUAGUAAAUUAGUAUUGUGAAAGAAAUUUGAAAUAAUUGAAAAUGAAUUAAUUAAAAAGUAAUUUUUAUUUAAUGUAUCUUGUGUAUCAGAGUUUAUUAAAAAAUAUUUUUUUUUUAGAAAAAUCUCGAAUUUAAAAGAGUUAAUUAAUUAUAAAAGUUAAUGUAGAAAAAUUAUUUUAAAUAAUUAAUUUGUAAUGAAAUGUUAAUCGUUUUUAAAUAUAUCUAGUUAUUUUAGAAAAAAAUUUAAUUUAAAAUUUAAAAAAUUUUAUUUUUAAUUAUAAUUAAAAAUAAAAUUUUUAAAAUUAAAUAUAUUAAGGGAUAAGCUUUAAUAUAAAAUUUUAUAAUAAAAUAAAAUUUAAUUAAAAGUUUUAAAAUUUAUAUUGUUUAAAAAUUAUAAUUUAUUAUAAAAAAUUUUAUUUUUAAUAAAAUUUAAUAAAAAUUUAAUUUUAUAUAAAAUAAUAAUAAAAAUAAUAAAAAAUUAAAAAUAAUGAUAAAAUUAGUAUAUUUAAUUUAAAAUAUAAUUUAAUUAAUAAUAAUUAAGUUAAAGGAAUUCGGCAAAAUUUUAUAUUCACUUGUUUAUCAAAAACAUGUCUUUUAGAAUAAUAAUUUAAAGUCUAAUCUGCCCACUGAUAAUAUAUUAAAGGGCUGCAGUAUAUUGACUGUACAAAGGUAGCAUAAUCAAUAGUCUUUUAAUUGAAGACUUGUAUGAAAGAUUUGAUGAAAUAUAAACUGUCUCUAAUUUAAUAAUAAAAUUUAAUUUUUUAGUUAAAAAGCUAAAAUAAUUUUAAAAGACGAGAAGACCCUAUAGAGUUUUAUAUUAAUUUUAUUUAAGAUUAUUUAUAAAAUUAAAAAUUAAAAAUAAAAUUAAUAUUUUAUUGGGGUGAUAAAAAAAUUAAUAUAACUUUUUUUAAAAAUUUAAACAUAAAUAAGUGAUUAAUUGAUCCAUUAAUUAUGAUUAAAAGAAAAAAUUACCUUAGGGAUAACAGCGUAAUAUUUUUUUUUAGUUCGAAUAAAAAAAAAAGUUUGCGACCUCGAUGUUGGAUUAAGAUAAAAUUUAAAUGCAAAAGUUUAAAAUUUUGAUCUGUUCGAUCAUUAAAAUCUUACAUGAUCUGAGUUCAAACCGGUGUAAGCCAGGUUGGUUUCUAUCUUUAGAUAAAGAAAAUAUUUUAGUACGAAAGGAUCAAAUAUUUUUAAUAAUUAAAAUUUAGUGAAUAAUAAUAAUAGUAAUUAAUAU
RNAcentral lists this ribosomal RNA (1322 nucleotides) under Limenitis jina (Bhutan sargeant). Its description in RNAcentral is "Athyma jina (Bhutan sargeant) 16S ribosomal RNA". Lineage: Eukaryota; Metazoa; Arthropoda; Insecta; Lepidoptera; Nymphalidae. The record is from RNAcentral.